Molecule: transfer RNA, 73 nt
Filed under: Saprospiraceae bacterium
Lineage: Bacteria; Pseudomonadati; Bacteroidota; Saprospiria; Saprospirales; Saprospiraceae
Also listed under: 1 other name
Description: tRNA-Arg
Rfam family: tRNA
About the family: Transfer RNA (tRNA) molecules are approximately 80 nucleotides in length. Their secondary structure includes four short double-helical elements and three loops (D, anti-codon, and T loops).
Source: RNAcentral
GCGGAAGUAACUCAUCCGGCAGAGCGACAGCUUCCUAAGCUGUAGGUGGCGGGUUCGAGUCCCGUCUUCCGCU